RNAcentral lists this ribosomal RNA (278 nucleotides) under uncultured Eubacteriales bacterium. Its description in RNAcentral is "uncultured Clostridiales bacterium partial 16S ribosomal RNA". The stretch from base 42 to 278 matches the Rfam family "Bacterial small subunit ribosomal RNA", at positions 104 to 339 of the family's 1533-position model. The record is from RNAcentral. Lineage: Bacteria; Bacillati; Bacillota; Clostridia; Eubacteriales.
UUUCCUUCGGGACUGAUUAUUUUGUGACUGAGUGGCGGACGGGGUGAGUAACGCGUGGGUAACCUGCCUUGUACAGGGGGGAUAACAGUUGGAAACAGCUGCUAAUACCGCAUAAGCGCACGGCAUCGCAUGAUGCAGUGUGAAAAACUCCGGUGGUAUAAGAUGGACCCGCGUUGGAUUAGCUAGUUGGUGAGGUAACGGCCCCACCAAGGCGACGAUCCAUAGCCGACCUGAGAGGUUGAACGGCCACAUUGGGACUGAGACACGGCCCAGACUCC